CGUUCUCAUAUAAAUUCACUGUCUGACUUAAGCAUCGGAGGAGCGACAAGAACAUAUCUCAUUGCCUUUGUUUCAGGUACCGAAAGGCUCUGUUCGUGCUCUCUCUCAGUCCUCAAGUUCGAGAGGUUUACCAGAUACGAUUUUUGGUAGUAUCAGAUACCAUUCACUAAUUCCAAGAAUUUAUUUAUUCUCGACUUACUACAUUUAUGGUGUGUUUGACUGCAAUGUGGAAUUUAUAUGAAAAGAAAAUAAAUUAUAGACAAUUGAAUUGCCUAGAAAUUAUUUGCAUAGAAAUUACUAGUUGGUAGAUGGGACGAAAAAUGUUAAAGCGAAAGUAUAGGAAAAAUUGGUUUACUUCUCAUAAACAUCCAAGGAUCCCAGCAACUCUGACAAAGCAUGAUCCACAAAAAUAAUUCAAGCGCUCAAUCAAACUUCACAACACUAGUUUUGAUUUCAAUUCCAAAUCCAGAGCAUGAAAUAAACAUAUGGAGAUUCACAAAUUUGUCAAUUUUAAUUUUGUUUAAUUCACUUCACUAGAAAAAAAAGGUGUUUUUAAUUAAAUUUUCCUCAUUCUACAAUGCUCAAGGCUCUCUCCGCUGAAUAGCAUGAGCAACUUUUAAUAAACGAGAAAUCGAAACGGAACUGUUCAAAAGUUCUUAAAACCACAAAAUUCAGUUC
Molecule: long non-coding RNA, 678 nt
Filed under: Olea europaea subsp. europaea
Lineage: Eukaryota; Viridiplantae; Streptophyta; Magnoliopsida; Lamiales; Oleaceae
Source: RNAcentral